RNAcentral lists this ribosomal RNA (468 nucleotides) under uncultured bacterium. RNAcentral's name for it is "partial 16S ribosomal RNA". It matches the Rfam family "Bacterial small subunit ribosomal RNA", at positions 28 to 507 of the family's 1533-position model. The record is from RNAcentral.
GACGAACGCUGGCGGCGUGCUUAACACAUGCAAGUCGAACGGAAAGGCCCUGCUUUUGUGGGGUGCUCGAGUGGCGAACGGGUGAGUAACACGUGAGUAACCUGCCCUUGACUUUGGGAUAACUUCAGGAAACUGGGGCUAAUACCGGAUAGGAGCUCCUGCUGCAUGGUGGGGGUUGGAAAGUUUCGGCGGUUGGGGAUGGACUCGCGGCUUAUCAGCUUGUUGGUGGGGUAGUGGCUUACCAAGGCUUUGACGGGUAGCCGGCCUGAGAGGGUGACCGGCCACAUUGGGACUGAGAGACGGCACAGACGCCUACGGGAGGCAGCAGGGGGGAGUAUUGCGCAAUGGGCGGAAGCCUGAUGCAGCAACGCCGCGUGCGGGAUGACGGCUUUCGGGUUGUAAACCGCUUUCGCCUGUGACGAAGCGUGAGUGACGGUAAUGGGUAAAGAAGCACCGGCUAACUACGUG